CCGUAUGCCAACAGCUGCAAUGCGUGGUAUAUCACCUCACCCUGGAUAUAACGUUCCUCUCUUUCAUGCUGCCUUGUCUGGGAAAAGGUCCACCUAAGAUAUUUAACUGCCCUUUUGAGGAUUACCAUAAAAACCACCAGAACAACUGGUAGAAGUAGAGUCUUCGUGUAUCGUAUUGGAGUCUCUUUUUCCAUGAAGUCAAACUCUGCAGCACAGGUAUACAUUAAUGUAUCAAAAUCCUUGUAGCCAAUAAAUUUAGCUUUUAAUAUAUUACCUAUAUGAGCAUCAUCGGCUACUCCAAAUGCUAAAGAUGUUAGGUAUUUCAAGGUGACUGUCCCAACUAACCAGGCACAUCCUUCAACGACCCACAGACACACUUGACUUCUG
This 387-nucleotide long non-coding RNA is filed under the name Gallus gallus (chicken). The record is from RNAcentral. Lineage: Eukaryota; Metazoa; Chordata; Aves; Galliformes; Phasianidae.